RNAcentral lists this ribosomal RNA (38 nucleotides) under Emiliania huxleyi. Its description in RNAcentral is "partial Eukaryotic large subunit ribosomal RNA". The record is from RNAcentral. Lineage: Eukaryota; Haptophyta; Isochrysidales; Noelaerhabdaceae.
GGCAUGUGGCUGCCAAGCGUUCAUAGCGACGUAGCUUU